This 497-nucleotide ribosomal RNA is filed under the name uncultured bacterium. RNAcentral's name for it is "partial 16S ribosomal RNA". It matches the Rfam family "Bacterial small subunit ribosomal RNA", at positions 28 to 507 of the family's 1533-position model. The record is from RNAcentral.
GAUGAACGCUGGCGGCGUGCCUAAUACAUGCAAGUCGAGCGAACGGACGAGAAGCUUGCUUCUCUGAUGUUAGCGGCGGACGGGUGAGUAACACGUGGAUAACCUACCUAUAAGACUGGGAUAACUUCGGGAAACCGGAGCUAAUACCGGAUAAUAUUUUGAACCGCAUGGUUCAAAAGUGAAAGACGGUCUUGCUGUCACUUAUAGAUGGAUCCGCGCUGCAUUAGCUAGUUGGUAAGGUAACGGCUUACCAAGGCAACGAUGCAUAGCCGACCUGAGAGGGUGAUCGGCCACACUGGAACUGGGACACGGUCCAGACUCCUACGGGAGGCAGCAGUAGGGGAUCUUCCGCAAUGGGCGAAAGCCUGACGGAGCAACGCCGCGUGAGUGAUGAAGGUCUUCGGAUCGUAAAACUCUGUUAUUAGGGAAGAACAUAUGUGUAAGUAACUGUGCACAUCUUGACGGUACCUAAUCAGAAAGCCACGGCUAACUACGUG